RNAcentral lists this non-coding RNA (260 nucleotides) under Nitrospirota bacterium. RNAcentral's name for it is "Nitrospirae bacterium 6S RNA". It matches the Rfam family "6S / SsrS RNA". From Rfam's summary of the family: E. coli 6S RNA was the first non coding RNA to be sequenced, but its function was unknown until recently. Lineage: Bacteria; Pseudomonadati; Nitrospirota. The record is from RNAcentral.
UUUUUCCUGCCCUGUAGGUGAUUAAGGUGACAUAUUUGAUCCGGCAAAUUAGAUCUUUAGGGAGCUUCAGUAUGGUUAACGGUGAGCAUGCCGAGCACCUGCUCGAGCGGACAAUGUCUCGUAUAAGCGCUAUUUCAAUAGAGCUAAUAUCAAUAUUGUUCGAUCUGGUGGGUGCUCGGUGGCCUAAAGUAGCCUUCUUGGCACCCACCUAUUCAUUAGGCGGAUCUAAUUGUUCAUCUACACCACAGGGCGGGUAUUAU